UCUUAGUUUGAGCACCCUCUUGAAUAGGCACGCCACUGCCUAGACCCGGUUAGCUUCUUCUUCAGGUACUUGCAAUGUUAAGGAGAAGAACACCAGUGAGUUUUACAACCAUCUGUGCUUCUCCCUUUUUGUAACACUUCUCCAUUGUACACACAAUGGGCAUCAUUCUUUCUCUUUCAACUCGGAUUUGAUGAUGAACUAGGAACACCUUUUGUGAACCUGAAACAUCACUCAAACUCUAGCAAAG
This 247-nucleotide long non-coding RNA is filed under the name Brassica rapa (field mustard). Its description in RNAcentral is "long non-coding RNA (BRAP_LNC008368)". The record is from RNAcentral. Lineage: Eukaryota; Viridiplantae; Streptophyta; Magnoliopsida; Brassicales; Brassicaceae.